GUGCUCUCCUCUCAGGCAGCACAUUUACUGAAAUUAGAAGGACACAGAGAAGAUUAGCCUGGCCCUGGAGCAAGGACGAUGCGCAAAUUCGUGCAGUGUUCCCUUUUUUU
This 110-nucleotide small nuclear RNA is filed under the name Dasypus novemcinctus (nine-banded armadillo). The record is from RNAcentral. Lineage: Eukaryota; Metazoa; Chordata; Mammalia; Cingulata; Dasypodidae.